Drosophila hydei is the source of this 360-nucleotide long non-coding RNA. RefSeq lists it as uncharacterized. Lineage: Eukaryota; Metazoa; Arthropoda; Insecta; Diptera; Drosophilidae. The record is from RefSeq and is a predicted model, not a curated record. The transcript has 3 exons.
CUUCGCGCACACUUAAACAGCUGACAACAUUGGGGCGUGCCAAUUUCGAUCGCCUUUACAUCGAUGUGUGCGUACGUAUAUGAGCGAGCGUAGCCACAAUAUUUGACUCAAUGGGCAUGACACACUUCCGUAUUAGCAGCGAUGAACCAACGAACAAAAGAGAGUACAUAACUGAGCGUCUUUGGCAGGCAUAACAGGGCCAUCGAUCAAGGUUUCCCCUCUCACGCGCGUUUCUUCAGCAUGCUUGUGUAUGUGCCAAUGUCUACAUGUGUGCGUGUGUACGUGUGAGAGUGCACAUGUGUAACUCUGACGUCGCAUUACAUGCUCUAGUUGCAUAAAAUACAUAUAGUAUAUAUGUAA